This is a non-coding RNA of Triticum aestivum (bread wheat), 134 nucleotides long. The record is from Rfam. NCBI's taxonomy places the organism in Eukaryota, Viridiplantae, Streptophyta, Magnoliopsida, Poales, Poaceae.
AGAAUACUCCUCCGUCCCAAAAUUCAUGUCUUAGAUUUGUCUAAAUACGGAUGUAUCAAGUCACGUUUUAGUAUUAGAUACAUCCGUAUCUAGACAAAUCUAAGACAAGAAUUUUGGAACGGAGGGAGUACUAG